UGACAAUGUUGUGCUUAAUUCUA
RNAcentral lists this non-coding RNA (23 nucleotides) under Drosophila melanogaster (fruit fly). The record is from RNAcentral. Lineage: Eukaryota; Metazoa; Arthropoda; Insecta; Diptera; Drosophilidae.